UAUUGAUUUUCAGGUCACUAGGUCAGAGGUCAAGGUCAUGGUGACCCAAAGCAGUAAAAUGGUUUCCGGAUGAUAACUCAAGAACGCUUAUGCCUAGGAUCAUGAAACUUCAUAGAUACAUUGAUCAUGACUCGCAGAUAAUGCCUAUUGAUUUUCAGGUCACUAGGUCAAAGGUCAAGGUCAGCAUGACCCGAAAUAGUAGAAUGGUUUCCGGAUGAUAACUCAAGAACGCUUAGGCCUAGGAUCAUGAAACUUCAUAGGAACAUUGAUCAUAACUCGUAGACGACCCCUAUUGAUUUUCAGGUCACUAGGUCAAAGGUCAAGGUCACAAUGACCCGAAAUAGUAAAAUGGUUUCCGGAUGAUAACUCAAGAACGCUUAGGCCUAGGAUCAUGAAACUUCAUAGGUACAUUGAUCAUGACUCGAAGAUGACCCCUAUUGAUUUUCAGGUCACUAGGUCAAAGGUCAAGGUCAUGGUG
Long non-coding RNA from Dreissena polymorpha, 478 nucleotides. RefSeq lists it as uncharacterized. NCBI's taxonomy places the organism in Eukaryota, Metazoa, Mollusca, Bivalvia, Myida, Dreissenidae. The record is from RefSeq and is a predicted model, not a curated record. The transcript has 2 exons.